Molecule: ribosomal RNA, 426 nt
Filed under: uncultured bacterium
Lineage: Bacteria
Description: bacterial SSU rRNA
Rfam family: Bacterial small subunit ribosomal RNA
Source: RNAcentral
UGGGGAAUUGUUCGCAAUGGGCGAAAGCCUGACGACGCAACGCCGCGUGGAGGAUGAAGAUCUUCGGGUCGUAAACUCCUUUCGAUCGGGACGAACGGCCGGUGGAUGAAUAUUCCAUCGGAAUGACGGUACCGAGAGAAGAAGCCCCGGCUAACUCAGUGCCAGCAGCCGCGGUAAUACGAAGGGGGCUAGCGUUGCUCGGAAUUACUGGGCGUAAAGCGCACGUAGGCGGAUCUUUAAGUCAGGGGUGAAAUCCUGGAGCUCAACUCCAGAACUGCCUUUGAUACUGGGGAUCUCGAGUCCGGAAGAGGUGAGUGGAACUCCGAGUGUAGAGGUGAAAUUCGUAGAUAUUCGGAAGAACACCAGUGGCGAAGGCGGCUCACUGGUCCGGUACUGACGCUGAGGUGCGAAAGCGUGGGGAGCAAA